Molecule: ribosomal RNA, 471 nt
Filed under: uncultured bacterium
Lineage: Bacteria
Description: bacterial SSU rRNA
Rfam family: Bacterial small subunit ribosomal RNA
Source: RNAcentral
ACUCCUACGGGAGGCAGCAGUGGGGAAUAUUGCACAAUGGGCGCAAGCCUGAUGCAGCCAUGCCGCGUGUAUGAAGAAGGCCUUCGGUUGUAAAGUACUUUCAGCAGUGAGGAAGGUGGGUAUGUUAAUAGCAUACUCAUUUGACGUUAGCUGCAGAAGAAGCACCGGCUAACUCCGUGCCAGCAGCCGCGGUAAUACGGAGGGUGCGAGCGUUAAUCGGAAUUACUGGGCGUAAAGCGCAUGCAGGUGGUUUGUUAAGUCAGAUGUGAAAGCCCGGGGCUCAACCUCGGAAUUGCAUUUGAAACUGGCAAACUAGAGUACUGUAGAGGGGGUAGAAUUUCAGGUGUAGCGGUGAAAUGCGUAGAGAUCUGAAGGAAUACCGGUGGCGAAGGCGGCCCCCUGGACAGAUACUGACACUCAGAUGCGAAAGCGUGGGGAGCAAACAGGAUUAGAUACCCUGGUAGGAUAGCG